Molecule: non-coding RNA, 570 nt
Organism: Pimephales promelas (fathead minnow)
Lineage: Eukaryota; Metazoa; Chordata; Actinopteri; Cypriniformes; Leuciscidae
Source: RefSeq, a predicted model, not a curated record
AAGAAGAAGAAGCAGGAAGAGAACAGUUUUAUUCUGUAACGAAACUGCUGCUAUUCAUCUGCUGUUAUCGCUUCAGUGAACCUCGCGCUGCUCGCUCGCGCGCAACACAGAUCAGCUGAUCGUCGUCGGAUUUGAAAGUAACGGCUCCUCUCAUCAAAGCUUCGGCUGUUUGUUCGGCUCUCCGUUACAAGAAGAACCACUGCAUUUCUAAAAUCAUCUGAACAUUUCAGAGGCUACAUUGAAUUACAGGAGGAAGUUACCGGCACCACACUACAAUGUAACUGAAUGAUGACUGGGGUUGCAUUACGCCUGAGAUCUGCUUUUGGGUUCCACAGACAGAAAGUCAAACAGGCACCUCGGUAAGCUGAAAUACAAGUUUGAACAAGAAAAAUAAUCCUCCUGUAGACCUGAAAAUCAUUGAAGUGCCUGGACCAUCCACCAGUAAAGAGGAAAAACAAACGGAAAAUUGUACUGUUCUAACUCGUUAACCUCACAUGUCCCUUGUUAAGAUUUUAUUAAUGAUUGCAUUUUAUGUUUCAGCAAGUAAAGGUGCGGUCAAAUUUGUGAAAU